This 373-nucleotide ribosomal RNA is filed under the name uncultured organism. RNAcentral's name for it is "partial 16S ribosomal RNA". It matches the Rfam family "Bacterial small subunit ribosomal RNA", at positions 527 to 896 of the family's 1533-position model. The record is from RNAcentral.
GGAGGGUGCAAGCAUUAAUCGGAUUUACUGGGCGUAAAGGGUGCGUAGGCGGCAAAUCAAGUCAGGUGUGAAAUUCCGGUACUCAAUACCGGAGCUGCACUUGAAACUAGUUUGCUUGAGGAUAGACGGAGAGAACGGAAUUCCACGUGUAGCGGUGAAAUGCGUAGAUAUGUGGAAGAACACCUGUGGCGAAAGCGGUUCUCUAGUUUAUUUCUGACGCUGAGGCACGAGAGUGUGGGGGGAGCAAACAGGAUUAGAUACCCUGGUAGUCCACACCGUAAACGAUGUGUACUUGGUGUAGAUCGGCUCAACCCGGUCUGUACCGUAGCAAACGCGUUAAGUACACCGCCUGAGUAGUACGCCCGCAAGGGUG